GGUGUCUUUCUGAUGAUUUGAAGCGAUUCUAAGAAACCCCUUUUAGUCGAAAAGAGUUGUAAAAACAAGAAAACGGCAGUAUCAGACAAAUGAUUUCAACCCUUUUGACAACUUAUUGUGAGGAAAUGGGACAGAGGAGAUUUAGGGUUAAUUAAUCCGACUUUCCGUCACUCCUAUAAUAAGUAUUGAUUGUCUCAAUGUAGUAUAUUUGGUUAAAAGAUGUUAUGCUCCUGCCAAACUGUGUGAGAGAUCCAUCCUACGUACAAUUUUGAUAUAUCGAAACUAGCUGAAUUAUUUACAAAUCAUUAAAGCUCCAUUUUGGUUUGAAAGAGUAUUAUAAUGUAAACAAAUAGAAUAAUGUUUUGGAAAUUCAACUUCUAUGUAGCGAAGUUCAAAAGAGGUAUCGUAGGUAAAACAAUGAGCAAUUUUUUCAUUUCACACGUGGUAUCUCGAGGAUUGUGUGCUCGAGUCAUGAAGUUUAGUGAAAAUCAAGGAGUUUAAACUAAUAAAGAUUGAAACUAAUAGAUCUCUAUCCUCUACAUUAUUCUCUUAGUACUAUUUUAGAGUUACACAAGUAAACCAUGCUUGCAAAGGUACCUGUUUACAUGAAACCCCGACCAAAACUAAAAUCGUAAAGACAGUAAUUAACUAGAUAGAUAUAUAGAGAGCACAAAUUAAGUUGAAUUCUAAGCUUUUAAAUGCACAAUUUAUGAAAUUUUGCAGCAUUUAGCAAAUUACUACUUUAUAAUAGAAAAAAGAAACAGCAAUAAGAAAAUCAUUUCACAAACUCACAUCAUCAUCAUCAUCUGAAUCACUAGAGACGGCGGCAGGCUCAGCAACAUUCUCAAACAUAGCUGGUGAAGACCAGGAAUUAGCUUGAGAUGUAACAGAUGAAGCUUUCCCCACCAUUCUUGCCUCAAGUUUCGCUAUUUUUGUAGGCAAAGACUGGUCAGAUUGGUUAGAAGAAUUGGAUGCAAAAUGAAUGACCAUAUCAUCAGCCAUUCUUGAAAAAAGAACAAAGAUAUCAGAUCAUUCCCAACUGACCCAAAACAACAAAGAACCUAAAAAAGUGAACUUGGGUGUCUUUUAAUAAUUUUGAAGCGAUUCUAAAAUACCCUUUUAGUCAAAAAGAGUUGUAAAAUCAAGAAAACGGCAGUAUCAGAGAAAUCAAUUCAACCCUUUUGACAACUUCUUGUAAGGAAAUGGGACAGAGGAGAUUUAGGGUUAAUUUAAUUCCCUUUUCUUGAGGAAAAUGGAAAGAAUCAAAGAGAGGGAAGUACUAAAAAAUAGUUGAGGGGGAGAUUUUUGAAAUCCCAAGAAGUAGUCUUUUUGGGAAGAGCAAAAAAAGUUAUAGUU
This 1356-nucleotide long non-coding RNA is filed under the name Solanum tuberosum (potato). Its description in RNAcentral is "long non-coding RNA (STUB_LNC011018)". The record is from RNAcentral. Lineage: Eukaryota; Viridiplantae; Streptophyta; Magnoliopsida; Solanales; Solanaceae.